UUACGGCUAUAACACGUUGAAAUACCGAUUCUCGUCCGAUCACCGAAGUUAAGCAACGUCAAGCCUAGCCAGUACCUAGAUGAGUAACCGCUUAAGAAUACCAAGUGCUGUAAG
This is a non-coding RNA of Acanthosepion pharaonis, 114 nucleotides long. Lineage: Eukaryota; Metazoa; Mollusca; Cephalopoda; Sepiida; Sepiidae. The record is from the annotation of a GenBank genome assembly.